UUAUUAGUCUCCUCCACUUCCUUAUUUAGAUAAGGACCUCUUAUUUCAUGGUAAGUGGGAGGGUUCAUUCCAGGUCCGUAUUGACCAACAAGCUCAAUAAAGUCUCCAAAUGUGUCAUAGUUGACACAAUUGAAGGGGAGCCCAGCAUCAUAGACCCAUCGUGCAAAAGCUCUAACUGCACAGUCCCUUAAAAUGUCUCUAGCAACUUUUUGUAUAUCUUUUCCACCGUCUUUUGUUCCCUUUGC
RNAcentral lists this long non-coding RNA (245 nucleotides) under Nicotiana benthamiana. RNAcentral's name for it is "long non-coding RNA (NBEN_LNC001175)". Lineage: Eukaryota; Viridiplantae; Streptophyta; Magnoliopsida; Solanales; Solanaceae. The record is from RNAcentral.